RNAcentral lists this RNase P RNA (215 nucleotides) under Escherichia coli. Its description in RNAcentral is "partial RNase P RNA component class A". It matches the Rfam family "Bacterial RNase P class A", at positions 140 to 367 of the family's 367-position model. From Rfam's summary of the family: Ribonuclease P (RNase P) is a ubiquitous endoribonuclease, found in archaea, bacteria and eukarya as well as chloroplasts and mitochondria. The record is from RNAcentral. Lineage: Bacteria; Pseudomonadati; Pseudomonadota; Gammaproteobacteria; Enterobacterales; Enterobacteriaceae.
GGGAUCAGGUAAGGGUGAAAGGGUGCGGUAAGAGCGCACCGCGCGGCUGGUAACAGUCCGUGGCACGGUAAACUCCACCCGGAGCAAGGCCAAAUAGGGGUUCAUAAGGUACGGCCCGUACUGAACCUGGGUAGGCUGCUUGAGCCAGUGAGCGAUUGCUGGCCUAGAUGAAUGACUGUCCACGACAGAACCCGGCUUAUCGGUCAGCUUCAACU